Molecule: ribosomal RNA, 460 nt
Filed under: uncultured bacterium
Lineage: Bacteria
Description: partial 16S ribosomal RNA
Rfam family: Bacterial small subunit ribosomal RNA
Source: RNAcentral
CCUACGGGUAGCAGCAGUGAGGAAUAUUGGUCAAUGGACGAGAGUCUGAACCAGCCAAGUAGCGUGAAGGAUGACUGCCCUAUGGGUUGUAAACUUCUUUUAUAUGGGAAUAAAACGUUCCAUGUGUGGGAUUUUGUAUGUACCAUAUGAAUAAGGAUCGGCUAACUCCGUGCCAGCAGCCGCGGUAAUACGGAGGAUCCGAGCGUUAUCCGGAUUUAUUGGGUUUAAAGGGAGCGUAGGUGGAUUGUUAAGUCAGUUGUGAAAGUUUGCGGCUCAACCGGAAAAUUGCAGUUGAAAAUGGCAGUCUUGAGUACAGUAGAGGUGGGCGGAAUGCGUGGUGUAGCGGUGAAAUGCUUAGAUAGCACGAAGAACUCCGAUUGCGAAGGCAGUUCACUGGACUGCAACUGACACUGAGGCUCGAAAGUGUGGGUAUCAAACAGGAUUAGAUACCCGUGUAGUC